GUCGGGAGUGGACUAAUACAAGACCCGCAAGGGGAAUACGUCCGGCCUUCUACUUGAGGUUUCUUAACCCCCGACACCUAGCC
This 83-nucleotide non-coding RNA is filed under the name Pseudomonas sp. M47T1. Its description in RNAcentral is "sRNA-Xcc1". It matches the Rfam family "sRNA-Xcc1". Lineage: Bacteria; Pseudomonadati; Pseudomonadota; Gammaproteobacteria; Pseudomonadales; Pseudomonadaceae. The record is from Rfam by way of RNAcentral.